GUGUGUGUGUGUCUGUGUGUGUGUAUGCAUAUGGGGAACUGAAGAUGCCCAGCCAGAGUUGUGAGCUUCCAGUCUUUCAGCAAAGGAAGAAGAGCUUUAGAAAAAUCAGAGUAAUAUGAUCAGAUCGCCCCACCAGUGGCUCAACAAUCUGUCCUCGUGUACACUUUGAAGAAAGCACAGGUGGUGAAGUGUCUCAUUUCAAGUUGUUGUGGUUUUCUGCCAUGGAGGAAAGUGUUGAAAAAAAAGGGAACUAUACAGCAUAAAGAUGGGUUUUCACAGAUCCUGUCAAGGGAUCUGAAUGAUGCAGUGUCGCAAUCCCAUUUUAUAAAUGAGGCAACCAAAACUCGAACAGGACCAUAUUGCGACUGAAACAAGGCAUAACAGGUCUUUGACUGGCUAUCCUGUGGAUGUGGACUCAGGCUAGCCUGCGCAAAGUGAAAGACAGGCAAUUAGAUUGAAAAAUACCUGUGAUUCAAAGAAGUCACAAGUCACAGAGACAAACUUUUCCCAGUGUGUUCGAGUCAGAGAACCUUUGCAAAGACCAACAGGCUAAAAGAGAAAAUACAAUGUCAUGACACAGCUAGAAUAUGUUUCCAAGCCUCCCCAACACGUGUGACUGUGUAUAAUUGAGUUCUAACCACAGGAAGCUUGAUGCAGAUGAGCAGGUAACCAUGGAAGUCGUGAGCUGAGGCUGCAGAGUCUAGAGCCAGAGUGUGGAAUAAACUUGGGUCUCAAAUCACCCCUGGAGCAAAGCACCCAUCUAAUCAGGAACUUCUACUUUCAACUUUACAUGCGUGAGAAAUGAACUUCUAUCAUGUUAGAGAAAUCCUUACACGGCGCCCUUGAGAGCUUUCAUACUGCAAGUCAUCCAUUUUCCUCCCCUCAAACCUGGCAUCGGAGUUUAUUGAAACAAAGCAAAAUAAAACAAAUAGACAAAGCUCUACCUCCAUCACUUCUGCAGUCUACAUUAACCCCACGUCCAGAAUAUUCACACCUCAGGUCUUUUUCUCACAAUUGAAACACUGGUUCAGAGCCUAACGGAAGGUCUUGGAGGUAAAAACACAACUUGGGGCAACUUUUCCAUUCUGUUCUGCAUGACCCCAAUGGGACUUCUCAGAAACCCCUCUCAUGAAUUAAACUUUGUUCUGUCUAGAGCAUUAGAAUAAGCUUAUGGGCACCUGCCAGGAGAUUAUAAAGUGGGCCAUUUAAAAGAUGACAGAUAUUGAGCACCCUUGACCCUGUAGAAAGAGUGUACCUACUUGCUUUCCCUAGGGCCCUUAAUGGUUUAUAAAAACA
Molecule: long non-coding RNA, 1296 nt
Filed under: Homo sapiens (human)
Lineage: Eukaryota; Metazoa; Chordata; Mammalia; Primates; Hominidae
Description: HSALNT0316916
Source: RNAcentral